UGACCGCUGGCGGCGUGCCUAAUACAUGCAAGUCGAGCGAACGGACGAGAAGCUUGCUUCUCUGAUGUUAGCGGCGGACGGGUGAGUAACACGUGGAUAACCUACCUAUAAGACUGGGAUAACUUCGGGAAACCGUAGCUAAUACCGGAUAAUAUUUUGAACCGCAUGGUUCAAAAGUGAAAGACGGUCUUGCUGUCACUUAUAGAUGGAUCCGCGCUGCAUUAGCUAGUUGGUAAGGUAACGGCUUACCAAGGCAACGAUGCAUAGCCGACCUGAGAGGGUGAUCGGCCACACUGGAACUGAGACACGGUCCAGACUCCUACGGGAGGCAGCAGUAGGGAAUCUUCCGCAAUGGGCGAAAGCCUGACGGAGCAACGCCGCGUGAGUGAUGAAGGUCCUCGGAUCGUAAAACUCUGUUAUUAGGGAAGAACAUAUGUGUAAGUAACUGUGCACAUCUUGACGGUACCUAAUCAGAAAGCCACGGCUAACUACGUG
RNAcentral lists this ribosomal RNA (495 nucleotides) under uncultured bacterium. Its description in RNAcentral is "partial 16S ribosomal RNA". It matches the Rfam family "Bacterial small subunit ribosomal RNA", at positions 30 to 507 of the family's 1533-position model. The record is from RNAcentral.